UACGUAGGGUGCGAGCGUUGUCCGGAAUUACUGGGCGUAAAGUGUGCGCAGGCGGCUUCGCAAGUCGAGUGUGAAAUCCCCGAGCUUAACUUGGGAAUUGCGCUCGAAACUACGGAGCUGGAGUGUGGCAGAGGAAGGUGGAAUUCCACGUGUAGCGGUGAAAUGCGUAGAGAUGUGGAGGAACACCGAUGGCGAAGGCAGCCUUCUGGGCCAACACUGACGCUCAUGCACGAAAGCGUGGGGAGCAAACAGG
RNAcentral lists this ribosomal RNA (253 nucleotides) under uncultured bacterium. RNAcentral describes it as "partial 16S ribosomal RNA". It matches the Rfam family "Bacterial small subunit ribosomal RNA", at positions 524 to 776 of the family's 1533-position model. The record is from RNAcentral.